RNAcentral lists this ribosomal RNA (196 nucleotides) under uncultured bacterium. RNAcentral's name for it is "partial 16S ribosomal RNA". It matches the Rfam family "Bacterial small subunit ribosomal RNA", at positions 1304 to 1500 of the family's 1533-position model. The record is from RNAcentral.
GCUGCAACUCGCCUGCAUGAAGUUGGAAUUGCUAGUAAUCGCGGAUCAGCAUGCCGCGGUGAAUACGUUCCCGGGCCUUGUACACACCGCCCGUCACACCAUGGGAGCCGGUAAUACCCGAAGUCAGUAGUCCAACCUCGUGAGGACGCUGCCGAAGGUAGGAUUGGCGACUGGGGUGAAGUCGUAACAAGGUAGC